AUUAAAGAGUUCUAUAACUCCCAAACCCAUGUGAACAUACCUAACGUUGCCUCGGCAGGUCGCACCUACCUUGUAGCACCCUACCCUGUAGGGCCUACCCGGGAGGUGCGAGUAAGCCUGCCGGCGGCCCACCAAACUCUGUUUGAUAUUGAAUUCUGAACCUAUAACUAAAUAAGUUAAAACUUUCAACAACGGAUCUCUUGGUUCUGGCAUCGAUGAAGAACGCAGCGAAAUGCGAUAAGUAAUGUGAAUUGCAGAAUUCAGUGAAUCAUCGAAUCUUUGAACGCAUAUUGCGCCCAUUAGUAUUCUAGUGGGCAGGACCGUUCGAGCGUCAUUUCAACCCUUAAGCCUUCGUUGCUUAGUGUUGGGAGCCUACGGCAACGUAGCUCCUCAAAGUUAGUGGCGGAGUUGGUUCACACUCUAGACGUAGUAAUUUUUUAUCUCGCCUAUUAGUUGGACUAAUCCCCUGCCGUAAAACCCCCAAUUUAUCAAGGUUGACCUCGAAUCGGUUCAGACAAACUCGCUAAAUUGAAGCAUCUUAGUCAGCGAAGGAAAAGAAACCAACAGGGAUUGCCCUAGUAACGGCGAGUGAAGCGGCAACAG
Molecule: ribosomal RNA, 603 nt
Filed under: fungal endophyte
Lineage: Eukaryota; Fungi
Description: eukaryotic LSU rRNA
Rfam family: 5.8S ribosomal RNA (bases 181-334)
Source: RNAcentral